Molecule: ribosomal RNA, 504 nt
Filed under: uncultured bacterium
Lineage: Bacteria
Description: partial 16S ribosomal RNA
Rfam family: Bacterial small subunit ribosomal RNA
Source: RNAcentral
AUUGAACGCUGGCGGCAGGCCUAACACAUGCAAGUCGAACGGUAGCACAGAGAGCUUGCUCUUGGGUGACGAGUGGCGGACGGGUGAGUAAUGUCUGGGAAACUGCCCGAUGGAGGGGGAUAACUACUGGAAACGGUAGCUAAUACCGCAUAACGUCUUCGGACCAAAGUGGGGGACCUUCGGGCCUUACACCAUCGGAUGUGCCCAGAUGGGAUUAGCUAGUAGGUGGGGUAAAGGCUCACCUAGGCGACGAUCCCUAGCUGGUCUGAGAGGAUGACCAGCCACACUGGAACUGAGACACGGUCCAGACUCCUACGGGAGGCAGCAGUGGGGAAUAUUGCACAAUGGGCGCAAGCCUGAUGCAGCCAUGCCGCGUGUAUGAAGAAGGCCUUCGGGUUGUAAAGUACUUUCAGCGGGGAGGAAGGCGUUAAGGUUAAUAACCUUGGCGAUUGACGUUACCCGCAGAAGAAGCACCGGCUAACUCCGUGCCAGCCGCCGCUGUAA